RNAcentral lists this ribosomal RNA (463 nucleotides) under uncultured bacterium. Its description in RNAcentral is "bacterial SSU rRNA". It matches the Rfam family "Bacterial small subunit ribosomal RNA", at positions 29 to 506 of the family's 1533-position model. The record is from RNAcentral.
ACGAACGCUGGCGGCGUGCUUAACACAUGCAAGUCGAGCGGUAAGGCUCCUUCGGGAGUACACGAGCGGCGAACGGGUGAGUAACACGUGAGCAAUCUGCCCUUCACACGGGGAUAACUCCGGGAAACCGAAGCUAAUACCCGAUACGACCACUUCAGGCAUCUGAUGGUGGUGGAAAGUUCCGGCGGUGAAGGAUGAGCUCGCGGCCUAUCAGCUUGUUGGUGGGGUAAUGGCCCACCAAGGCAACGACGGGUAGCCGGCCUGAGAGGGUGACCGGCCACACUGGGACUGAGACACGGCCCAGACUCCUACGGGAGGCAGCAGUGGGGAAUAUUGGACAAUGGGCGAAAGCCUGAUCCAGCAACGCCGCGUGAGGGAUGACGGCCUUCGGGUUGUAAACCUCUUUCAGCAGGGACGAAGCGCAAGUGACGGUACCUGCAGAAGAAGCACCGGCCAACUACGU